GCCGAGGGAUGACGUUUGAAGGUAUAGAAAUUUCUAAACAAAGAAACAGUCGGUCGAACUUCAGCUAAGCUAUAGAGCGAAAGAAAUCCUAUCAGAAAUCUAAAGAAGUUCAGCACUACAGAAACUAAAGAAAUGUUUAAGAAGCGAAAGAGAGCAAUAACAAAAGGUGGAAGUGGAAGUCGAUGUCCGACACAGAAAGCUUCUUGGUAUAAACAGAAGCAGCC
This 224-nucleotide long non-coding RNA is filed under the name Elaeis guineensis (African oil palm). Its description in RNAcentral is "long non-coding RNA (EGUI_LNC069377)". Lineage: Eukaryota; Viridiplantae; Streptophyta; Magnoliopsida; Arecales; Arecaceae. The record is from RNAcentral.